Suricata suricatta (meerkat) is the source of this 668-nucleotide long non-coding RNA. RefSeq lists it as uncharacterized. The record is from RefSeq and is a predicted model, not a curated record. The transcript is spliced from 3 exons. Lineage: Eukaryota; Metazoa; Chordata; Mammalia; Carnivora; Herpestidae.
GCGGGUAGUGCAGCUCCUCGGCGUCCCCGGCUCCGGCUGCCGCGGCGCACAGCAGCAAGAGCCCCAGUGCCGCGGGCCUCGGGCCCAGCAGCAUCUCGCCGGCCCGCCGCGGACACGGAGGCAAGGAAGGAGACCGGCGGGGACUCAGCCCGUGGCAGCGCUCCGCGGGCCGCUGCAAACCGACAGUACGGCGUACGCGGGGAGGAGGGAACGCGAUGCAGAAGGGGCGGUGGCCGCCUUCCCCCGACCCCAAGGAGGCAGAAGCCCGAGAGACUACUGCGGUGGUGAAGCUGACCAGCCCGAGGCCUAAAUGGCCCUGGCGGAGGGGCGGGGCGCCAGGCCGCACCGCUGAUUGGGCCUUCCGGAGCUGGGGGCGGGCCACGGCGAUGAGGCGGUCGGCUGCCGGCGGAGCCUCUCCAUGGAGCUAGCGGUGGCUGCCGGGAGAAAUUAUAAUUGACCAGAAUCCUGGAAAAAGCCACGACAGCGGGGAGCAAACCCAAUGUGUAAAGCACUCAGAUCUGAACGGAUGCAACUGUGUUUCACACAAAUGAGAUACCCUCAUCAUCUCCUCAACAUGGGUGAAGUAAGUCGUCAUUGCCAUUUUAAAACCCAUCAUCUCUAGGAAAUUCAGUUUUCCCUAAUAAACUGCAUUUCUUAUGGUCUGGUAA